Molecule: ribosomal RNA, 409 nt
Filed under: uncultured Weissella sp.
Lineage: Bacteria; Bacillati; Bacillota; Bacilli; Lactobacillales; Lactobacillaceae
Description: bacterial SSU rRNA
Rfam family: Bacterial small subunit ribosomal RNA
Source: RNAcentral
UAGGGAAUCUUCCACAAUGGGGCGCAAGCCUGAUGGAGCAACGCCGCGUGUGUGAUGAAGGGUUUCGGCUCGUAAACACUGUUAUAAGAGAAGAACGACAUUGAGAGUAACUGUUCAGUGUGUGACGGUAUCUUAUCAGAAAGGAACGGCUAAAUACGUGCCAGCAGCCGCGGUAAUACGUAUGUUCCAAGCGUUAUCCGGAUUUAUUGGGCGUAAAGCGAGCGCAGACGGUUAUUUAAGUCUGAAGUGAAAGCCCUCAGCUCAACUGAGGAAGGGCUUUGGAAACUGGAUAACUUGAGUGCAGUAGAGGAAAGUGGAACUCCAUGUGUAGCGGUGAAAUGCGUAGAUAUAUGGAAGAACACCGGUGGCGAAAGCGGCUUUCUGGACUGUAACUGACGUUGAGGCUCGA